CAAUGCCCUGGUCUACAAAUCACAGAUGCUUGCAAUGACAUGACAUGGUUCCAACACCAGUACACAGUCUGAAGGCGGGGAAACCGCAUGUGGUAGUGGUUUGUGCAUCCAAUGGGCAGUGAUUGAGUCCGAUGGUGUUACAGCCAACAAGUCGACGUCAACAGUGCUCAACGACGAAGACGUCGGUCAAGCGGCUAGGGCUCCAAUCAAGUUCCGACAAGUUUCCGGUGUAGCUGCAUACUUGGAUGUUAGCAAAGGGCUAUCACAGGUGGUAGCAAAUAGUAAGGAUGCAAAUAAACCAAGAGCUUGAUGAUACUUAAAGAUGAUGGUUUUUUGUUUGUCAAUUUUGAUACAAUAUAUUAAAAUUUUACAAUUAUUGAAAUAUCUACUUUUUUAGGUGAGAGCCCUUUUAUUCGUGUUGCAAUGCAAGGGC
RNAcentral lists this long non-coding RNA (433 nucleotides) under Helianthus annuus (common sunflower). Its description in RNAcentral is "hypothetical non coding rna". Lineage: Eukaryota; Viridiplantae; Streptophyta; Magnoliopsida; Asterales; Asteraceae. The record is from RNAcentral.